RNAcentral lists this ribosomal RNA (972 nucleotides) under Verrucomicrobiales bacterium. RNAcentral describes it as "bacterial SSU rRNA". It matches the Rfam family "Bacterial small subunit ribosomal RNA", at positions 1 to 965 of the family's 1533-position model. Lineage: Bacteria; Pseudomonadati; Verrucomicrobiota; Verrucomicrobiia; Verrucomicrobiales. The record is from RNAcentral.
UAUUCGGAGAGUUUGAUUCUGGCUCAGAACGAACGCUGGCGGCGUGGAUAAGACAUGCAAGUCGAACGGAGGAUUUUUAGAGCUUGCUUUGAAAAUCCUUAGUGGCGAACGGGUGAGUAACACGUGAGUUACCUGCCCCGAAGCGGGGGAUAGCCCGAAGAAAUUCGGAUUAAUACCCCAUGUGCUCGUAAGAGUAAAGACGGUGUAAGCUGUCGCUUUGGGAUGGGCUCGCGGCCUAUCAGCUUGUUGGUGAGGUAAUGGCUCACCAAGGCUAUGACGGGUAGCUGAUCUGAGAGGAUGAUCAGUCACACUGGAACUGAGACACGGUCCAGACACCUACGGGUGGCAGCAGUCGAGAAUCAUUCGCAAUGGGCGCAAGCCUGACGGUGCGACGCCGCGUGGAGGAUGAAGGCCCUAGGGUCGUAAACUCCUGUCAUCAGGGAGUAAUGGCUCGUGAAGUAACUAUCACGGGUCUUGAUAGUACCUGAAGAGGAAGGGACGGCAAACUUCGUGCCAGCAGCCGCGGUAAUACGAAGGUCCCAAGCGUUGUUCGGAUUUACUGGGCGUAAAGAGUCUGUAGGCGGUAGAGUAAGUCAGAUGUGAAAUCCCGGGGCUCAACCCCGGAACGGCAUCCGAUACUGCUUUACUUGAGGGUUGGAGGGGAGUCUGGAAUUCUCGGUGUAGCAGUGAAAUGCGUAGAUAUCGAGAGGAACACUAGUGGCGAAGGCGAGACUCUGGACAACACCUGACGCUGAGAGACGAAGGCCAGGGGAGCGAAAAGGAUUAGAUACCCUUGUAGUCCUGGCAGUAAACGGUGCACGCUUGGUGUGGGAAGGUUCGACCCUUUCUGUGCCGGAGCUAACGCGUUAAGCGUGCCGCCUGGGGAGUACGGUCGCAAGAUUAAAACUCAAAGAAAUUGACGGGGACCCGCACAAGCGGUGGAGCAUGUGGCUUAAUUCGAUGCAACGCGAA